This 664-nucleotide ribosomal RNA is filed under the name uncultured Bacilli bacterium. Its description in RNAcentral is "bacterial SSU rRNA". It matches the Rfam family "Bacterial small subunit ribosomal RNA", at positions 64 to 713 of the family's 1533-position model. Lineage: Bacteria; Bacillati; Bacillota; Bacilli. The record is from RNAcentral.
GAACGCUGAAGGAGGAGCUUGCUUCUCCGGAUGAGUUGCGAACGGGUGAGUAACGCGUAGGUAACCCGCCUGGUAGCGGGGGAUAACUAUUGGAAACGAUAGCUAAUACCGCAUAAGAGUAGAUGUUGCAUGACAUUUGCUUAAAAGGUGCAAUUGCAUCACUACCAGAUGGACCUGCGUUGUAUUAGCUAGUUGGUGGGGUAACGGCUCACCAAGGCGACGAUACAUAGCCGACCUGAGAGGGUGAUCGGCCACACUGGGACUGAGACACGGCCCAGACUCCUACGGGAGGCAGCAGUAGGGAAUCUUCGGCAAUGGACGGAAGUCUGACCGAGCAACGCCGCGUGAGUGAAGAAGGUUUUCGGAUCGUAAAGCUCUGUUGUAAGAGAAGAACGAGUGUGAGAGUGGAAAGUUCACACUGUGACGGUAUCUUACCAGAAAGGGACGGCUAACUACGUGCCAGCAGCCGCGGUAAUACGUAGGUCCCGAGCGUUGUCCGGAUUUAUUGGGCGUAAAGCGAGCGCAGGCGGUUAGAUAAGUCUGAAGUUAAAGGCUGUGGCUUAACCAUAGUACGCUUUGGAAACUGUUUAACUUGAGUGCAAGAGGGGAGAGUGGAAUUCCAUGUGUAGCGGUGAAAUGCGUAGAUAUAUGGAGGAACACCGGU